This 90-nucleotide ribosomal RNA is filed under the name Rigodium toxarion. The record is from RNAcentral. Lineage: Eukaryota; Viridiplantae; Streptophyta; Bryopsida; Hypnales; Lembophyllaceae.
UGAUGCGGUCAUACCAAGGCUACUACACCAGAUCCCAUCAGAACUCUGAAGUUAAGCGCCUUUGGGCCGGAAUAGUACUGGGAUGGGUGA